CAGUUUUGGCGGAGCCAUCCUUGGGAUACCACCCUUGUAGUACUGGGACUCUAACCAUAGGCCAUGAAUCUGGUCUUGGGACACUGUCAGGUGGGCAGUUUGACUGGGGCGGUCGCCUCCCAAAAGGUAACGGAGGCGCUCAAAGGUUCUCUCAGUACGGUCGGAAAUCGUACGUAGAGUGUAAAGGCAAAAGAGAGCUUGAUUGCAAGACAUACAGGUCGAGCAAGGAUGAAAAUCGGACUUAGUGAUCCGGUGGUUCUGCGUGGAAGGGCCAUCGCUCAACGGAUAAAAGCUACCCUGGGGAUAACAGGCUUAUCUCCCCCAAGAGUCCACAUCGACGGGGAGGUUUGGCCCCUCGAUGUCGGCUCAUCACAUCCUGGGGCGGUAGUAGGCCCACAGGUUGGGGCGGUCGGCCAACAAAGGGGGUAGCGUGGCUGGG
RNAcentral lists this ribosomal RNA (439 nucleotides) under Clostridioides difficile. RNAcentral describes it as "bacterial LSU rRNA". It matches the Rfam family "Bacterial large subunit ribosomal RNA", at positions 2172 to 2609 of the family's 2925-position model. Lineage: Bacteria; Bacillati; Bacillota; Clostridia; Peptostreptococcales; Peptostreptococcaceae. The record is from RNAcentral.